RNAcentral lists this ribosomal RNA (445 nucleotides) under uncultured bacterium. RNAcentral's name for it is "SSU rRNA". It matches the Rfam family "Bacterial small subunit ribosomal RNA", at positions 26 to 518 of the family's 1533-position model. The record is from RNAcentral.
AGAGCGAACGCUGGCGGCAGGCCUAACACAUGCAAGUCGAGCGCCCCGCAAGGGGAGCGGCAGACGGGAGAGUAACACGUGGGAACGUACCCUUCAGUUCGGAACAACCCAGGGAAACUUGGGCUAAUACCGGAUACGUCCGUAAGGAGAAAGAUUUAUCGCUGAAGGAUCGGCCCGCGUCUGAUUAGCUAGUUGGUGAGGUAACGGCUCACCAAGGCGACGAUCAGUAGCUGGUCUGAGAGGAUGAUCAGCCUCACUGGGACUGAGAAACGGUCCAGACUCCUACGGGAGGCAGCAGUGGGGAAUCUUGCGCAAUGGGCGAAAGCCUGACGCAGCAACGCCGCGUGGAGGACGAAGGCUUUCUGAGUUGUAAACUCCUUUCAGCAGGGACGAUAGUGACGGUACCUGCAGAAGAAGCACCGGCCAACUACGUGCCAGCAGCCGC